Molecule: ribosomal RNA, 494 nt
Filed under: uncultured bacterium
Lineage: Bacteria
Description: partial 16S ribosomal RNA
Rfam family: Bacterial small subunit ribosomal RNA
Source: RNAcentral
GACGAACGCUGGCGGCGUGCUUAACACAUGCAAGUCGAACGGAAAGGCCUGCUUUCCCUUGUGGAUUGCGGGUACUCGAGUGGCGAACGGGUGAGUAACACGUGAGUGAUCUGCCCCCAACUUGGGUAUAAGCCUGGGAAACUGGGUCUAAUUCCCGAUAGGACUGCAGGGUGGUGCCUGUGGUAGAAAACGAUUUUCUAGUGGUUGGGGAUGAGCUCGCGGCCUAUCAGCUUGUUGGUGGGGUAAUGGCCUACCAAGGCGGCGACGGGUAGCCGGCCUGAGAGGGUGGACGGCCACAUUGGGACUGAGAUACGGCCCAGACUCCUACGGGAGGCAGCAGUGGGGAAUAUUGCACAAUGGGCGGAAGCCUGAUGCAGCGACGCCGCGUGGGGGAUGACGGCCUUCGGGUUGUAAACUCCUUUCGACCGCGAGGAAGCCACCUGGUUGGAAGGGUGGUGACGGUAGUGGUAGAAGAAGCUCCGGCUAACUACGUG